AGUGAACGCUGGCGGUAGGCCUAACACAUGCAAGUCGAACGGCAGCACAGUAAGAGCUUGCUCUUACGGGUGGCGAGUGGCGGACGGGUGAGGAAUACAUCGGAAUCUACUUUUUCGUGGGGGAUAACGUAGGGAAACUUACGCUAAUACCGCAUACGACCCACGGGUGAAAGCAGGGGAACUUCGGACCUUGCGCGAUUGAAUGAGCCGAUGUCGGGUUAGCUAGUUGGGGGGGUAAAGGCCCACCAAGGCGACGAUCCGUAGCCGGUCUGAGAGACUGGUCAGCCACACUGGAACUGAGACACGGUCAAGACUCCUAAGGGAGGCAGCAGUCGGGAAUAUUGGACAAUGGGCGCAAGCCUGGUCCAGCCAUCCCGCGUGGGUGACGAAGGCCUUCGGGUUGUAAAGCCCUUUUGUUGGGAAAGAAAAGCAGCAGGUUAAUACCCCGCUGUUCUGACGGUACCCAAAGAAUAAGCACCGGCUAACUUCGUG
RNAcentral lists this ribosomal RNA (492 nucleotides) under uncultured bacterium. RNAcentral's name for it is "partial 16S ribosomal RNA". It matches the Rfam family "Bacterial small subunit ribosomal RNA", at positions 29 to 507 of the family's 1533-position model. The record is from RNAcentral.